CCUACGGGGGGCAGCAGUGGGGAAUAUUGGACAAUGGGGGGAACCCUGAUCCAGCGACGCCGCGUGAGUGAAGAAGUCUUUCGGUAUGUAAAGCUCUAUCUGCAGGGAAGAAAGACAUGACGGUACCUGACUAAGAAGCCUCGGCUAACUACGUGCCAGCAGCCGCGGCAAUCCGUCGGGGGCAAGCGUUAUCCGGAUUUACUGGGUGUAAAGGUAGCGUAGACGGCGAGGCAAGUCUGAAGUGAAAGGCGGGGGCCCAACCUCCGGACUGCUUUGGAAACUGUAUGGCUUGAGUGCAGGAGAGGUAAGCGGAAUUCCUGGUGUAGCGGUGAAAUGCGUAGAUAUCAGGAGGAACACCGAUGGCGAAGGCAGCUUACUGGACUGUAACUGACGUUGAGGCUCGAAAGCGUGGGGAGCAAACAGGAUUAGAUACCCGAGUAGUC
Molecule: ribosomal RNA, 443 nt
Filed under: uncultured bacterium
Lineage: Bacteria
Description: partial 16S ribosomal RNA
Rfam family: Bacterial small subunit ribosomal RNA
Source: RNAcentral